This 1231-nucleotide ribosomal RNA is filed under the name Chloroflexota bacterium. RNAcentral's name for it is "bacterial LSU rRNA". It matches the Rfam family "Bacterial large subunit ribosomal RNA", at positions 1 to 1200 of the family's 2925-position model. Lineage: Bacteria; Bacillati; Chloroflexota. The record is from RNAcentral.
UGGGUCAAGUUAUUAAGGGAUUACGGUGGAUGCCUUGGGUCCAAGAGCCGAAGAAGGGCGUAGUAAGACUGCGAUAAGCCUCGGCUAGCUGUCUAACAAGCUUAACCGGGGAUACCCGAAUGGGGAAACCCGUUCUGGGUCAUACCAGGACAUUCCGUAAGGAAAGGGAACCGCGUGAACUGAAACAUCUAAUUAACGCGAGGAGUAUAAAUCAACCGAGAUUCCCCUAGUAGUGGCGAACGAAAGGGGAAUAGCCUAAACCAGGCGGGCUUAGUGGAGUGAGGUCCUAUGUCCGUUUGGUGUUGCAACAUUUCUCCGCCUAAACCUCAAAUGAGGGCGAAGAGUAAGAAAUUUCUGAACUAGCCAAACGCACCUGGAAAGGACGACCGUAGAAGGUGAUAGUCCUGUAGGCGAAAGUGACGAAACUCUUGAGAAUUUGUUAAGUACCGCGAGACACGAGAAAUCUUGUGGGAAUCUGGGGAGACCACUCUCCAAGGCUAAAUACUCUUGGACACCGAUAGUGAACCAGUACUGUGAAGGAAAGGUGAAAAGUACCCCGAGAGGGGAGUGAAAUAGACCUGAAACCGUAAUCUUACAAGCCGUAGAAGGCUCGAUGCGUCGGGCUAACUGCGUGCCUAUUGAAGAAUGAGCCGGCGAGUUAAUUUGUGCAGCACGGUUAAGGAAUUGGAAUUCCGGAGCCAUAGCGAAAGCGAGUCUGAAUAGGGCGUUAAGUUGUAUGGAUUAGACCCGAAACCGUGUGAUCUACCCUUGGCCAGGUUGAAGCCCAGAUAGUCUCUGGGUGAAGGACCGAACCCGUGUCUGGUACAAAAGGCUGGGAUGAGCUGAGGGUAGGGGUAAAAUGCCAAUCGAACACGGAGAUAGCUGGUUCUCCCCGAAAUGUAUUUAGGUACAGCGUUCGGGUAGUCUUGUGGAGGUAGGGCACUGGAUAGGUAAGGGGGCGUGAGCCUACCAAACUUAACCAAACCACGAAUGCCGCAAGAUGGUCCCGGGCAGUGAGACAGUGGGGGAUAAGCUCCAUUGUCGAGAGGGAAACAGCCCAGACCGCAGGCUAAGGUCCCCAAGUGUGUGCUAAGUGUGAAACGAAGUUAAAUUGCUAAAACAGCUAGGAGGUUGGCUUAGAAGCAGCCAUCCUUUAAAGAGUGCGUAAUAGCUCACUAGUCGAGGAAUUUUGCGCGGAAAAUGUAACGGGGCUAAAGCACACCACCGAAGC